Molecule: ribosomal RNA, 497 nt
Filed under: uncultured bacterium
Lineage: Bacteria
Description: partial 16S ribosomal RNA
Rfam family: Bacterial small subunit ribosomal RNA
Source: RNAcentral
GAUGAACGCUGGCGGCGUGCCUAAUACAUGCAAGUCGAGCGAACAGACGAGGAGCUUGCUCCUCUGACGUUAGCGGCGGACGGGUGAGUAACACGUGGAUAACCUACCUAUAAGACUGGGAUAACUUCGGGAAACCGGAGCUAAUACCGGAUAAUAUAUUGAACCGCAUGGUUCAAUAGUGAAAGACGGUUUUGCUGUCACUUAUAGAUGGAUCCGCGCCGCAUUAGCUAGUUGGUAAGGUAACGGCUUACCAAGGCAACGAUGCGUAGCCGACCUGAGAGGGGGAUCGGCCCCCCUGGAACUGAGACACGGUCCAGACUCCCACGGGGGGCAGCCGUAGGGAAUCUUCCGCAAUGGGCGAAAGCCUGACGGAGCAACGCCGCGUGAGUGAUGAAGGUCUUCGGAUCGUAAAACUCUGUUAUUAGGGAAGAACAAAUGUGUAAGUAACUAUGCACGUCUUGACGGUACCUAAUCAGAAAGCCACGGCUAACUACGUG